This 253-nucleotide ribosomal RNA is filed under the name uncultured bacterium. RNAcentral's name for it is "partial 16S ribosomal RNA". It matches the Rfam family "Bacterial small subunit ribosomal RNA", at positions 524 to 776 of the family's 1533-position model. The record is from RNAcentral.
CACGUAGGAGGCGAGCGUUGUCCGGAAUCAUUGGGCGUAAAGAGCGCGCAGGCGGCCCGGCAAGUCGGGUGUGAAAUCCCGGGGCUCAACCCCGGGACUGCAUUCGAUACUGCCGGGCUAGAGGUAGGUAGGGGAGAUCGGAAUUCCUGGUGUAGCGGUGAAAUGCGCAGAUAUCAGGAGGAACACCGGUGGCGAAGGCGGAUCUCUGGGCCGGACCUGACGCUCAGGCGCGAAAGCUAGGGGAGCGAACAGG